CUCUUCACACAAACCCUAGGGAGCUAUUAGAGCAGGGAAAGUUUAAGAAGAUAAGGUUUUCUUUGAAGGUGUAAGUUUUAAAAUGAGUUUAAAAACCAAGGAGCUACAUGGAGUGAGAGUGUCCUGACUGGGUAGAGAUGCAGAGCUGGAAGGGGACCACAUACACGGGGACCUACAGGAGGCGGAGCGUCAUGGGCUUGUCUCGGAUGGCAGAAGGAGGCUAACAUUGAAGAUAGAGGCCAUGUCUGCUGUCCUCCUCCAAGAAGGCUGCCUCCCGCCACUUCCCAGCCCGGAGUAGGGCAGGGAAGCAGCAGCCUGCCCCAGCCCAAGAGUGGAAAGAGUUUCAAGAAUUUGGAGUUCCCAGCACAAAUCACUACACAGGUGGGCACCCAAGUUCUCCCUAUAUCUCUCUCCACUGCAGGAAGCCUCGAACCAAAAGACAAGAGGAAGAAUUCAUACAGGACAGUGAACACCAUGGAACCCGUCUUAGUCUGUUCAGGCCGCUAUAACAGAAUAUCAUAGACUGAGUGGUUUAUAAACAACAGAAAUUUAUUUCUCACAGUUCCGGAGUCUGGGAAGUUCCAGAUCAAGGUCCAGCAGAUUUAGUGUCCAGUGAGAUGCCCCCCUCUGGUUCAUACACGGCUGUCUUCUCACUAUAACCUCACACCAUGGGGGCUCUUUUACAAGGGUGCUAAUCCCAUUCGUGAGGACUCCGCCCUCACCAUCUGAUCACCUCCCAAAAGUUCCACCUCCUAAUCCUAUCACUUUGGGGAUUAGGAUUUCAACAUAUGAUUUUUGGGGAGGCACAAACAUUCAGUCUACAGCAGAAUUCCAGCUAAGUCAACAAGAAGGCAACCCCUGAAGAUUCUUCUGCAACCCUGAGAUCAAAUAGGACCCAAACAGAGGUCACGAUUUCCUCUGAAGCUAUGCUCACAGGAAAUGAAAGACCAAGGAGGGGGUCGGCAGACAGACAGACACGAGGAAUCGCACUCAAUGAACCAUACACACUGGAGCAAUCUGAAAGGAACUUUAAAGAUUUCAAAUGCCAAAGAGAUAGAGGGAGGAAAAGAAUCUAAUAUGGCAAGAACAGAACAUUUUGAGGAAAAAACAAGCAGAUUUGAGAGGGAGUCAAAUGGAGUGGAUUGAAUUAUAACAUAUUGACUUGACCUGAAUUAAACACCAAACAGACCAAUUAUUAACUAAGCUUGGUUGUAAAUAUUGCCUAAGAAUAGGAAAAAAGUGAAGGAAAUAAAUACGAAUUUGCCAAUUAAAGAAUGUUUCAUUAUUCUAGAGUUAUUUAGAAAAAUUAUUUUUAAAAAUCAUUCUAAACUUUCUCUCUCAACAUCUACAGUUAUUUGUUUUACAGCGAUUUAUAUUGGGAGAAAAAGGCCAUGAUUUUACCCGCGUAAACACAUAGGUCCAGUGGUUUGAAUCGGGGAUCGUGGCUCCACGCUUACAAAGAGGACCCGAGUGGAAACAGGCAGCUUGGCAGACAGCAUAAGGUGACGCCGAUGCUGUUUGGUGAACCACAUUUUGAACAGCAAGGCCCUAAAGCUUCUUUCAACCAACCAUGCCCAGCUUAAAGGAGGCACUCAUUUAUUGAGUUAUGGAGAAAAGAAGAGAGAAAGAGGAGGAGGGAUGGUUGUGGAGGAAAGGAGAUGGAAGAGCAUUAUGAACACAACACCCAGGACUGCAAACUAACAUGAGCCAUAAUUGAAGGGCCAGAUUUCUUGAAAAACGCCUGUUACAUAGGCAAGAUGAGGCACCUGGUUCUAACAGGCAAAUAAAAUUAUUCUGUGAGAAUCAUAGAAUUGUUGUGUCUGUGUUCUUGCCAGUCACCCAGUGCAGCAUAAUGCAGGAGUCCCUGUCAGGUUUAUCAGAAGCGUGACUUUCAAAGUGGGGACCCACCGAGCUACAAAGUCAGGAGAGAUUUCCAAAAUUCAAUUUGAUAUCAUUUUAAUAUGCACAAUAGCUGUAUGGGCCCCCCCAAAAUUGGAAGUGCUACAGAGUUGUAUGUAAAAGACUUUUCUUGACAAACCUCGAGAGGCAGAGAAAGAGGGUGGCAGACUGCCUUGCGGAGAGAAUUAGAAGUUUGAGGGCUAAGUGACCGCCUGGCUCUGGAAAUCCACGAGGAAGCUGCAAGAAUCAGGUUCGGUAUGUCCCAUCAAGGUCACUAAAAAGAAUACAGUAAGCCUCCUGGCUAAGAUUUCCAGCCAUUAUGCAACCUCAGGCAAGCCAAGACAGUAACCCCAGAC
Molecule: long non-coding RNA, 2255 nt
Filed under: Equus caballus (horse)
Lineage: Eukaryota; Metazoa; Chordata; Mammalia; Perissodactyla; Equidae
Description: lncRNA (ENSECAG00000050488.1)
Source: RNAcentral